AGAGUUUGAUCCUGGCUCAGAUUGAACGCUAGCGGCAUGCUUAACACAUGCAAGUCGAACGGUAACAGUCCUACAUUUCGGUGUAGGAGCUGACGAGUGGCGAACGGGUGAGUAACGCGUAGGAAUCUACCUUGUAGUGGGGGACAACCCGAGGAAACUCGGGCUAAUACCGCAUAAUCUCUACGGAGGAAAGGGGGCCU
RNAcentral lists this ribosomal RNA (200 nucleotides) under uncultured bacterium. Its description in RNAcentral is "partial 16S ribosomal RNA". It matches the Rfam family "Bacterial small subunit ribosomal RNA", at positions 8 to 213 of the family's 1533-position model. The record is from RNAcentral.